Molecule: long non-coding RNA, 854 nt
Organism: Rattus norvegicus (Norway rat)
Lineage: Eukaryota; Metazoa; Chordata; Mammalia; Rodentia; Muridae
Source: RefSeq, a predicted model, not a curated record
UCCAUCAGAAUAAUGACCAUUAAUGCGUCAUUCCGCCGGGCCGGACUGCCCUGGACGGCGCUCUAGGCAAGCCAUCCACAGCCUGAAGUGAGAUGCCAGCCAGAGACAGCCUGAGUCCGAGACACAAGGCAGAGAGAAUGAAGUACAAAUCAUAAUGGUCAUCACUCAGUGAACACACUCCCUUAAGCACCAUCCAGGAUGUUUAGCUGGUUUUUAAAGGAGAAAGAGACCGCUGAGAGAAAACACUGGAGUGGCAGCCCAGGCAGCCGUGCCUGCAGGAGGAUGCCUCCCAGCAGAACAGAGUCCUCACUUUCUGCACUUGAACUGUGUGGCAGCCAGGGGCUAUGUCAUGGGUAUCCGGUGGCCACUUCGCAGAGCUGUCCGUGGGAAACAGAAACCUCCAGCCAGCCUUAUGGAAUGGAACUCUCCCGCCUUCUGCCACUACGGGCUCCCGUGAUCAUCAGAGUGGGAAAGCCUCAUCCUGAAGCACCAGGCAGAGCCAUCCUCAGUCCUGAUUCUCAGAUAGCUGCAGAUCUCGGUUUGCAUACAGUUCCUCACAGAAUCCGGGGUGUCUCCAGGCCGCUGAAGAUGAUAACAAGGGGUUGUGCAUUUGUCCGUGUCUCACACAGCCAACAGGGUGUCACCAAAUCUCCUCGUGACCAACCCCACGGGCAACCCCAGGAACCAAUGCAAUCACAAAGCCAGUGGUGAUGGCCACCAGAAACGUUGUCGAGUGUCCUUUGUCUCUGACUCAGGUCUUUUGGCAUCAUCAGUGAGGCUGAGACAGACUGGCUUGUUAGCUCACGAAAGGAUAAAAUUCAAAACCCUGUAAAUAAAGCUCUUGGCCCUACUGA